This 1573-nucleotide ribosomal RNA is filed under the name uncultured Omnitrophica bacterium. Its description in RNAcentral is "bacterial SSU rRNA". It matches the Rfam family "Bacterial small subunit ribosomal RNA". The record is from RNAcentral. Lineage: Bacteria; Pseudomonadati; Candidatus Omnitrophota.
GAGUUUGAUCCUGGCUCAGAGUAAACGCUGGCGGCGUGGAUUAGGCAUGCAAGUCGAGCGGUCUUAUAAGAUGAACUUUCUGAAUUCCCGGACGUUUCCUUCGGGAAUCUGAAGGGAUGGAUGAGAGGGAAUCUUUUAAGAUAGCGGCAAACGGGUGAGUAAUGUAUGGGUAAUUUACCUUAAAGAGGAGCAUAGCUUCGCGAAAGCGGAGGUAAUACUCCAUACGCUCUAUGCCUGGGAUGGUGUAGAGGAAAGGUGGCUUAACUCUUUUGAGUGCUGCCGCUUUAAGAGAGGCCCAUAUCUUAUCAGCUUGUUGGCAGGGUAACGGCCUACCAAGGCGAAGACGGGUAGCUGGCCCGAGCAGGGUGGCCAGCCACAUCGGGACUGAGACACUGCCCGGACUCCUACGGGAGGCUGCAGUCGAGAAUAUUUUCCAAUGCCCGAAAGGGUGAGAAUGCGACGCCGCGUGGGGGAUGAAGGUCUUCGGAUUGUAAACCCCUUUUCUGAAAGAGGAAAGCCUGCAGGUUAAGAGCUAACAGGUCUGACAUUAUUUCAGGAAUAAGCCACGGCUAACUCCGUGCCAGCAGCCGCGGUAAUACGGAGGUGGCUAGCGUUACUUGGAAUUACUGGGUGUAAAGGGUCCGUAGGCGUCCUGAUAAGUCUUAUGUGAAAUCUUUCUGCUCAACGGAAAAAUUGCAUAAGAAACUAUCAGGAUAGAGGAUGAAAGAGGAGAGUGGAACUGUUGGUGUAAAGGUGAAAUUUGUGGAUAUCAACAGGAACACCCAUGGCGAAGGCAACUCUCUGGUUCAUUCCUGACGCUGAGGGACGAAAGCCAGGGGAGCAAACAGGAUUAGAUACCCUGGUAGUCCUGGCUGUAAACGAUGAGCACUAGGUGUCUCCAUUCUUCGGGGGUGCCGCAGUUAACGCGUUAAGUGCUCCACCUGGGGACUACGGCCGCAAGGCUAAAACUCAAAGGAAUUGACGGGGGCCCGCACAAGCGGUGGAACAUGUGGUUUAAUUCGAUGCUACGCGAGGAACCUUACCAGGGCUUGACAUGCUGGAAGUAUUCUGGUGGAAACAUUGGAAGACCGGUAUCCAGUCCGGGACCAGCACAGGUGCUGCAUGGUUGUCGUCAGUUCGUGCCGUGAGGUGUUCCCUUAAGUGGGAUAACGAGCGCAACCCUCAUCCUUAGUUGCCAAUUUAGGAUUUAUUUCUAAACGCACUCUAAGGAGACUGCCUGCGUUAAGUAGGAGGAAGGCGGGGAUGACGUCAAAUCAGCAUGGCCCUUAUGUCCUGGGCUACACACGUGUUACAAUGGCGUGUACAGAGGGAAGCGAAGCCGUGAGGCGGAGCAAAUCCUUUAAAGCACGCCCCAGUUCGGAUUGCAGGCUGCAAUUUGCCUGCAUGAAGCCGGAAUCGCUAGUAAUGGCGCAUCAGCAACGGCGCCGUGAAUACGUUCCCGGGCCUUGUACACACCGCCCGUCAAGCGCUGAAAGUAAGGAGCACCCGAAGUCCUGAUUAUUCAGGAUCACGGUGAGCUUUAUGAUUGGUGCUAAGUCGUAACAAGGUAACC